UCCAUCCGCCGAGUCAUAUGGGGACCUUUCGGAGGAGGCAUUUUUGGACAGAAACUGGAGGAUACUGUUCGUUAUGAGAAGAGAUAUGGGAACCGUCUGGCUCCGAUGUUGGUGGAGCAGUGCGUGGACUUUAUCCGACAAAGGGGGCUGAAAGAAGAGGGUCUCUUUCGACUGCCAGGCCAGGCUAAUCUUGUUAAGGAGCUCCAAGAUGCCUUUGACUGUGGGGAGAAGCCAUCAUUUGACAGCAACACAGAUGUACACACGGUGGCAUCACUUCUUAAGCUGUACCUCCGAGAACUUCCAGAACCAGUUAUUCCUUAUGCGAAGUAUGAAGAUUUUUUGUCAUGUGCCAAACUGCUCAGCAAGGAAGAGGAAGCAGGUGUUAAGGAAUUAGCAAAGCAGGUGAAGAGUUUGCCAGUGGUAAAUUACAACCUCCUCAAGUAUAUUUGCAGGUUUCAUCAAAGACAUUUGUAACUGAAUUCUGUUAGAAAAAUAAUUGUGCCUGAAAAAUAUACCUCUCAAUGUAUAACUCAAGGCCUGGGAUGGGAUAUGCCAUAUAUGUGCUCCUAUUUAAGAAACCAAAUAUGCAAAAUUGAAACCGAAUAAAUUUAAAUAGAGAGUGAUGAUUGGCACUACAAGUCACUGCAGGGUGUCUUACAUGAUAGCUUCCCAGUCCAUUUUAAAAUAAAAUUCAAAGUUUUAGUUGAG
This 708-nucleotide small RNA is filed under the name Pongo abelii (Sumatran orangutan). RNAcentral describes it as "processed transcript". The record is from RNAcentral. Lineage: Eukaryota; Metazoa; Chordata; Mammalia; Primates; Hominidae.